RNAcentral lists this ribosomal RNA (384 nucleotides) under uncultured prokaryote. Its description in RNAcentral is "bacterial SSU rRNA". It matches the Rfam family "Archaeal small subunit ribosomal RNA", at positions 341 to 725 of the family's 1478-position model. The record is from RNAcentral.
GCGAAAACUUUACAAUGCUGGCAACAGCGAUAAGGGAACCUCGAGUGCCAGGUUACAAAUCUGGCUGUCGAGAUGCCUAAAAAGCAUUUCAUAGCAAGGGCCGGGCAAGACCGGUGCCAGCCGCCGCGGUAACACCGGCGGCUCAAGUGGUAACCGUUAUUAUUGGGUCUAAAGGGUCUGUAGCCGGCCGGAUAAGUCUCUUGAGAAAUCUGGCAGCUUAACUGUCAGGCUUUCAGGAGAUACUGUCUGGCUCGAGGCCGGGAGAGGUGGGAGGUACUUCAGGGGUAGUGGUGAAUUCUUGUAAUCCUUGAAGGUCCACCAGUGGCGAAGGCGUCUCACCAGAACGGACCUGACGGCAAGGGACGAAAGCUAGGGGCAUGAACC